GAACGCUGGCGGCGUGCCUAAUACAUGCAAGUCGAGCGAGCUUGCCUAGAUGAUUUUAGUGCUUGCACUAAAUGAAACUAGAUACAAGCGAGCGGCGGACGGGUGAGUAACACGUGGGUAACCUGCCCAAGAGACUGGGAUAACACCUGGAAACAGAUGCUAAUACCGGAUAACAACACUAGACGCAUGUCUAGAGUUUGAAAGAUGGUUCUGCUAUCACUCUUGGAUGGACCUGCGGUGCAUUAGCUAGUUGGUAAGGUAAUGGCUUACCAAGGCGAUGAUGCAUAGCCGAGUUGAGAGACUGAUCGGCCACAUUGGGACUGAGACACGGCCCAAACUCCUACGGGAGGCAGCAGUAGGGAAUCUUCCACAAUGGACGAAAGUCUGAUGGAGCAACGCCGCGUGAGUGAAGAAGGGUUUCGGCUCGUAAAGCUCUGUUGGUAGUGAAGAAGGAUAGAGGCAGUAACUGGCCUUUAUUUGACGGUAAUUACUUAGAAAGUCACGGCUAACUACGUGCCAGCAGCCGCGGUAAUACGUAGGUGGCAAGCGUUGUCCGGAUUUAUUGGGCGUAAAGCGAGUGCAGGCGGUUCAAUAAGUCUGAUGUGAAAGCCUUCGGCUCAACCGGAGAAUUGCAUCAGAAACUGUUGAACUUGAGUGCAGAAGAGGAGAGUGGAACUCCAUGUGUAGCGGUGGAAUGCGUAGAUAUGUGGAAGAACACCAGUGGCGAAGGCGGCUCUCUGGUCUGCAACUGACG
This 754-nucleotide ribosomal RNA is filed under the name uncultured Bacilli bacterium. RNAcentral's name for it is "bacterial SSU rRNA". It matches the Rfam family "Bacterial small subunit ribosomal RNA", at positions 31 to 745 of the family's 1533-position model. The record is from RNAcentral. Lineage: Bacteria; Bacillati; Bacillota; Bacilli.